This 632-nucleotide ribosomal RNA is filed under the name Gongronella butleri. RNAcentral describes it as "LSU rRNA". It matches the Rfam family "Eukaryotic large subunit ribosomal RNA", at positions 86 to 626 of the family's 3401-position model. The record is from RNAcentral. Lineage: Eukaryota; Fungi; Mucoromycota; Mucoromycetes; Mucorales; Cunninghamellaceae.
ACGGCGAGUGAAGAGGGAAAAGCUCAAGUUUGGAAGCUUCGUGGCAUAGCUACGACGCGUUGUAAACUGAAGUUUUUUGGGUGAUUGGGCGACCGGAUAAAUAAGUCCUUUGGAAAGGGGCAACAUAGAGGGUGACAUUCCCGUCUUUGGUCCGAGUCAGUGCAGUCGCUGCCCAGGAAACGACGAGUCAGGUUGUUUGGGAAUGCAGCCUAAAAUGGGAGGUAAAUCUCUCCUAAAGCUAAAUACUGGCGUAAGACCGAUAGCGAACAAGUACCGUGAGGGAAAGAUGAAAAGGACUUUGAAAAGAGGGUCAAAUAGUACGUGAAAUUGUUGAAAGGGAACCGUAUGAAAGUAGACUGGCUUGGUGAUGAUCAAUGUGUGUUUCGGCACGCAUGCACUCAUUGCCUUUGCCAGCCAGCGGCAGUUUUUGCUAAAGGAAGAAAAUCAGGGGAAUGUAGCUUCGAUUUCGGUUGAAGUGUUAUAGCUCCUGGUAAAAUACUUUGGCAGAGACUGAGGCUAGCAGCGGAUCUUUGGGAACUUUGUGCGCUUGUCGUCCAAUGGUUAAGUUUUCUUCGGAUGCUUGGUCAUUGGGUGGCAACUCGUGUGAUGCUUCACCCUUCCGCUUAGGUCGC